This 430-nucleotide ribosomal RNA is filed under the name Pseudomonadota bacterium. RNAcentral's name for it is "Proteobacteria bacterium partial 16S ribosomal RNA". It matches the Rfam family "Bacterial small subunit ribosomal RNA", at positions 355 to 776 of the family's 1533-position model. Lineage: Bacteria; Pseudomonadati; Pseudomonadota. The record is from RNAcentral.
UGGGGAAUAUUGGACAAUGGGGGGAACCCUGAUCCAGCCAUGCCGCGUGUGUGAAGAAGGCCUUAUGGUUGUAAAGCACUUUAAGCGAGGAGGAGGGUACUGGUAUUAAUACUACCAGGUACUGGACGUUACUCGCAGAAUAAGCACCGGCUAACUCUGUGCCAGCAGCCGCGGUAAUACAGAGGGUGUGAGCGUUAAUCGGAUUUACUGGGCGUAAAGCGUGCGUAGGCGGCUAAUUGAGUCGGAUGUGAAAUCCCCGAGCUUAACUUGGGAAUUGCAUUCGAUACUGGUUAGCUAGAGUGUGGGAGAGGAUGGUAGAAUUCCAGGUGUAGCGGUGAAAUGCGUAGAGAUCUGGAGGAAUACCGAUGGCGAAGGCAGCCAUCUGGCCUAACACUGACGCUGAGGUACGAAAGCAUGGGGAGCAAACAGG